CGUCAUGCCAUUCAGUUGGUGUGGCGGGGAAUCAGGACUGUUACUUUGAAAAAAUUAGAGUGUUUAAAGCAGGCUCGCGCUUGAAUACAUUAGCAUGGAAUAAUGAAAUAGGACGUUUGACCCUAUUUUGUUGGUUUCUAGGAUCGACGUAAUGAUUAAUAGGGAUAGUUGGGGGCAUUAGUAUUCAAUUGUCAGAGGUGAAAUUCUUGGAUUUAUUGAAGACUAACUACUGCGAAAGCAUUUGCCAAGGAUGUUUUCAUUAAUCAAGAACGAAAGUUAGGGGAUCGAAGACGAUCAGAUACCGUCGUAGUCUUAACCAUAAACUAUGCCGACUAGGGAUCGGAUGAUGUUAAUUUUUUAAUGACUCAUUCGGCGCCUUACGGGAAACCAAAGUGUUUGGGUUCCGGGGGGAGUAUGGUCGCAAGGCUGAAACUUAAAGGAAUUGACGGAAGGGCACCACCAGGGGUGGAGCCUGCG
RNAcentral lists this ribosomal RNA (477 nucleotides) under uncultured Glomeromycotina. RNAcentral's name for it is "SSU rRNA". It matches the Rfam family "Eukaryotic small subunit ribosomal RNA", at positions 712 to 1187 of the family's 1831-position model. The record is from RNAcentral. Lineage: Eukaryota; Fungi; Glomeromycota.